UACAUCCUACGGGGCGCAGCAGUGAGGAAUAUUGGUCAAUGGCCGGAAGGCUGAACCAGCCAAGCCGCGUGAAGGACGAAGGUGCCAAGCAUUGUAAACUUCUUUUGUCAAGGGACAAAAUCAGGCUCGAGAGCCUGACCGAGGGUACUUGAAGAAAAAGCAUCGGCUAACUCCGUGCCAGCAGCCGCGGUAAUACGGAGGAUGCGAGCGUUAUCCGGAUUUAUUGGGUUUAAAGGGUGCGUAGGCGGAAUAUCAAGUCAGCGGUAAAAAUUCGG
Molecule: ribosomal RNA, 275 nt
Filed under: uncultured bacterium
Lineage: Bacteria
Description: partial 16S ribosomal RNA
Rfam family: Bacterial small subunit ribosomal RNA
Source: RNAcentral